RNAcentral lists this long non-coding RNA (397 nucleotides) under Oncorhynchus kisutch (coho salmon). RNAcentral describes it as "lncRNA (ENSOKIG00005024399.1)". The record is from RNAcentral. Lineage: Eukaryota; Metazoa; Chordata; Actinopteri; Salmoniformes; Salmonidae.
UUUGCAUCAGCUGGAAGUUGAUUGCCUUCGAUUUGGAACCAGGCUGCAUCCUGGGUUUGAACCAGGUGCCCAUUUCAAAGCCCACUGCGAAGUCUGCUCAAAACAAAACUGACGUCCCUGGAGGCCAUUGUGACAUCCAUUGUGUGGCAACACAGGUAAUCAAACUUAGUAAAAAACAACAUUAUACUUAAGGUAGGUUUAACAAAUGUUACGUUUACUAAUGAGUCCUUUCCUGUAAUCACAGCUUUGGAAGCCAGGCGGAGUGUCAGUGAGAGGAGCUGAAGAGAGAGAACGCAGGUAAAACCGAUACAGAAAAGGAGUAUUGUUUUCCAGUCAGAAGUGCUGCACCGAGAAGGUGUUUAUACCUGCUGUUAACAUGCGCCCUCAUCUUGUCUUU